GACGUAGGGGGCUAGCGUUGUUCGGAAUUACUGGGCGUAAAGAGCGCGUAGGCGGUCUAUUAAGUUGGAAGUGAAAUCCCGGGGCUCAACCCCGGAAUUGCUUUCAAAACUGGUAGGCUAGAGUUCGGUAGGGGGUGAUGGAAUUCCUAGUGUAGAGGUGAAAUUCUUAGAUAUUAGGAGGAACACCGGUGGCGAAGGCGAUCACCUGGCCCGAUACUGACGCUGAGGCGCGAAAGCGUGGGGAGCAAACAGG
Molecule: ribosomal RNA, 253 nt
Filed under: uncultured bacterium
Lineage: Bacteria
Description: partial 16S ribosomal RNA
Rfam family: Bacterial small subunit ribosomal RNA
Source: RNAcentral